Molecule: long non-coding RNA, 484 nt
Filed under: Homo sapiens (human)
Lineage: Eukaryota; Metazoa; Chordata; Mammalia; Primates; Hominidae
Description: HSALNT0134045
Source: RNAcentral
GCAGGCUGGGGACCUGGCCAGCCUGCGCCCUCCUGCGCCUCGCGGCCCUGGCUGUGGUCGGCGCCCGCUCCCAUCCUUCAUCCGGCCGUGACUCCCGAGGACCCGCAGGCUCCUCCUGCCUCCGGAAACCUCCCGUGAAGACCUGCUCCCUGGGCGCGGGAAGCUCUCACCGCCUAGCCUCCACCCCACACCCCCUGGAGGAGAGUCCUACCCACUCUAUUUGAAUGUGAUUUUACCACUUCUGGUUCACCCAAAAAGCUUUUCUCUUCCCUCCCCAGUUCGGAAAGACUUGAUGCCGCACCGCUUCCCACAAUGAUCAGACGCCUAAAGAACCCUACUAACCCAAAGUUGGGAGAAAUGUUAAUUUGGGGGUGAAGAAGUUCCGAGGAGACUCUUCCUCUGUGGGACAGUCCCAUUGAGAUGUAUAUCAGGCCUGGGAAAUGUAGUCGAUUUCUUGAGAAAAUAAACCACCCUUUCCACUCCC